RNAcentral lists this long non-coding RNA (10054 nucleotides) under Octopus vulgaris (common octopus). Lineage: Eukaryota; Metazoa; Mollusca; Cephalopoda; Octopoda; Octopodidae. The record is from RNAcentral.
GUUGAUGCAGUUGCCUGUACCUCCUCUUUCCUAUUAAUUAGCCCUGUGCCUAAUUAAGAAAGCAAUCAUUGUCAUCAUGGUAUGAAAGAAGAUAGCUGAGGUAGUUAAAUGUCAGUGUAGACAUUACAGUGUUUAGUUUGUGUCCCCUUUUCCGAACCCAACUUAUGUGGGCUUUGUCUUUCAAUCCUUUGAGGGUUGGUGAAAUACAUAUCUAUAACCACUCCCUUACAAACAUUGGUGCCUAGUCUGAAACACACAUAUUAUUGUCAGUAUGUUAGCAGGAACCCUUGUGUGGUGCUAAGUUUUUAACAAGUGAAAUCAGUUUUGUUUUCAUUCUUAGUAGGAGAGAUCUUUUAAUUCCUUCUACAUUAUGUAUUUUUGGUAUGUUAUGACUUACAAUAUCUUCUUGUCGAUAUAUUUGAGACUUCGUGCCUCUGUAACAAAUCAUCAUCAUCAUCAUCAUCAUCAUAAUCAUUAUUGUAGCAAAUAACGAACCUUGUAGACCUAAAGGUAACCUUCUGAUAACCCAACACUUCACAUCAGUUUCAAUUCCAAAUUGAAGAAUUUUUCACCUCACUGUGGUAUAAAUACUGCCAAGAAAAAGACAAUAAUCUACCAAAAUCUCACUUCCAUCUUCUUCAAAUUGUGGCUUUAUGCUUAAGUGAGAAAUCAUAAUUGCAGAAAAUAUGAUAUUGAACCAAAAGAAUUCCCAAGAAUUUACUGGCUGGUUUUAAAUAACCACCCUUGGAGAAUCACACACCCUAAUUCCACCAUUCUUCAUUCAAUAUAUGUCUGGGGUAUGAUAAAUGCAUAUGUUGAAAAGAAAUCAUUAUUUUGUUCUUUUAUGAUCAAUUUUUGUAUCGCUUCAUCAACAUUGAUGUACCACAUUAACUUGUAACAGUACAAUCUAAAUAUUUGCCUUGCUUAUACUCACAUUCAUUAAACACCAUUCCUCUGUAUACACACACAGAGCAAAACAAUGUAAAUAUUAUUUGUAUGUAGAAUAAUUUCUCUAAACCCUAGAAAUUGAUUUUUUUAAAAUUUAACAUUUUAAUUAAUUGUUGAUUUGAUCAAUUGUUACUGGUGUUUUUUUUUUCUCUGUGUUAUAUGCAGUUUUUUAUUGUUGUUGCAUUUUAUUUUUAUAUCUUUAAAACCCCUUUUGCAUUCAUAUUAGUCUUUCAAAUGUAAUGCUUAUUUAUUCACAUUGUUUUAAAUUAAUUAUACACAUUGUGUAACUUUGAGAUUUUGAUGAUGUUACUGUUUACUUUGAGAAUAAUAUAGUACGGUAGAUGUAAGAGGCUGAAUGUAACCAAUUUGAACAUAAAACGUGUAGGAUAUUUGGGUCAGAUAUGGCUGGUUUAAAGAAUCAAUUACAGCUUUAGGUGUUGUGGGCAAAUACAGAUUCACACAUAUAAAUGCAAAUUCACUCAUUUAACCCUUUCGUUACCAGCCCGGCUGAAACCAGCUCUAGCUCUGAGUACAAAUGUCUUGUUUUCAUAAGUUUUGAAUUAAAAUCUUCCUCCAAACUUUAGUCACAAUUUAUGUUCCUAACACUAGCUUAAUGAUAACUAAGUUAUUUUACUAAAUUCUUUGUUAUAUUUAAAAUCAAUUGAAAGAAACACAGAGCAUCUCAACAGAAAUAUGGUAACAAAAUGGUUAAAAUAUAUAAUAGAGAAACAAUUCUUAACCCUUUUGAUACCAGCCUGGUUGAAACUGCCUCUGGCUCUGUAGUACAAAUGUCUUGUUUUCAUAAGUUUUGAAUUAAAAUCUUCCACCAAAACCUUAGUCACCAUUUAUGUUCCUAACACUAGCUUAAUGAUAACUAAGUUAUUUUACUAAAUUCUUUCUUAUAUUUAAAGUAAUUGAAAGAAACACAGAGCAUCUCAACAGAAAUGCGGUAACGAAAGGGUUAAAUACAUAUUCACACUCAGACUUGCAGAUGAUAUUAUAUAUUGGGUUCUCAGAUGAAUUCAUUCAUUUUUUUUUUCUACUUGGCUCUCCGUUGUCAUACAUGUGAAAAAAAGAUGAAGUUUUUUUCAAAUUUCAAAAAUGAUAAACAAAAGAAUUAGAGGACGAAUAGAGCUACAAAAGCCCAUGAAGUACUGCGAUAAAAAUAUUUUUCAUGUAAAUUCAAAUAACAUUGGAAAGGAUUAAAAUAAAUGAAUGUAAAACACCCUGAAAAACCCUAAAAGCAAAUUUAUCUGACAGUCCGAAAGUUAACUCUUUCAAGUAAUUCCUUUUCAAAGGUGAGUGAGAGCGGAGGAGUGGCUGUGUGUUAAGUAGCUUGCUGACCAACCACAUGGUUCCAGGUUCAGUCCCACUGCGUGGCACCUUGAUCAAGUGUCUUCUACUAUAGCCUCGAGUCAACCAAAGCCUUGUGAGUGGAUUUGGUAGACGGAAACUGAAAGAAACCUGUCGUAUAUAUGUAUAUAUAUAUGUAUAUAUAUAUAUAUAUAUAUAUAUAUAUAUAUAUAUAUAUAUAUAUAUAUAUAUAUAUAUAUAUGUAUAUAUAUAUAUGUAUGUAUGUAUGUUUGUGUGUCUGUGUUUGUCCCCACAACAUCGCUUGACAAUCGAUGCUGGUGUGUUUACAUCCCCGUAACUUAGCGGUUCGGCAAAAGAGACCGAUAGAAUAAGUACUAGGCUUACAAAGAAUAAGUCCUGGGAUCGAUUUGCUCGACUAAACUGAUUGAAACAAGUAAAAGAGUAAAAAGAGAGAGUAAAGAGAGAAAGAGAUAGCACUCCUGUGUUGCCACCAAUCUGUCUCUCAUGAAGCGCUGGGUCCAAAGGGGUAUCAGCCAACGAGCUAAGAGGGCCGUUGUUUGUAGCUGUUAGCAACAGCGACCAACACCCUUAACUUUCAGAUUGCCCUUUAAGUAGAUACUCUGCGUAUGGAAUAACGUAUUCCAAGCCAUUGCGGUAGGGCAAGGUUGAUGAGUGGUUUCAGUGGCUGAUAAACACUUGAAGGAUGAUGAAUGCCUCUCUGAGCUGAUUUCCUUUAGAUACACAAUUUGAAGACUUAAUGGAUUAUGAGACAACACACACACACACACAUGAUCAAACAAACAAAAGCCAAAAUUAAAGCAGACUAAGAUACUAAGGAGUAAAUUGCUGCACUAGCCACUGUAAUAUAGCUAGUUCAAUUGUCUAGCAUUAGUUUUUAAUUUUUUAAUUACCUAUACUCAUAUACAUAAGUGUGUGUGUGUAAGGGUAAAGACCCCCUUCGGUCAUGAAUGACCAUGGGAUUGCACCUAGAAAGUUACCCUCCUAGACACAAGUCCGGGCAAGGUUGUUUAUGGAAGAGCAGCAGUCGCCCAUGCAUACCAGCCUCCCCUCUCCACACCACCAGUGUUAUCCAAGGGAAAGACAAAGGUCGAUACAGCUUGGCACCAGUGACGUCGCAACUCAUUUCUACAGCUGAGUGAACUGGAGCAACGUGAAAUAAAGUGCUUUGCUCAAGAACACAACACGCAGCCCGGUCCGGGAUUCGAGCUCACAACCUCACGAUCGUAAGCUCGACGCUCUAACCACUGAGCCAUGCGCCUUAUAUAUAUAUAUAUAAAAUUUAAUAAGGGUAGAAAUUGAUAUUAGUCAAUUAAAACCAGUGGCCCAGCAUAUUAAAAAGAAUCCGAAGAUUAAAAUAUUGUAUGUAUAUAUAUAUAUAUAUAUAUAUAUAUAUAUAUAUAUAUAUAAAUGUGACUGCGUGUGUACUGUUGGCAAUUUGUUUUUCCUCUGUCUUCCCUUCUCUGGAUCUUUCCUUCUCCUAUGUUUCCGACGAAGAGCUCCGCUUGAAACGUUAAACCCUCCUUCUUUCCUGAGCAUCCAAUAAUACUAUAUUUGUUCCACGUCCUCGCGUUCUGUUUUUUUUUGUGCUUUCUUGUUUGUAUUAACUAUAUAUAUAUAUAUAUAUAUAUAUAUAUAUAUAUAUAUACACACACACACACACAUAUACAUAUAUGCACAUACACACCAUGUGACCUGCCUUGACCAAUAGCAGCCCAUUCUUCUAGUAGCCAUUUUGGACUUCCUGUAUUCCUUCAUUCAGUAACCUGAGCCUGAAAGAGCCAGGUUUCUCUUAGCAGCCUGCAAAACUUUAACUCACAUGGAGCCAAAUCCAACUGUUCUAAAUAAUGAUAAUGAUAAUAAUAACAGCACACAUAAUAUCGGUAUUUCAUCUGUCUUUAUGUUUUGAGUUCUUUAGAUUCAGUCAACUGCUUUUUAAAAGUAGUGUUCUUUUAUUAAUGCCAUGUGUAUCCUGGUUUUACAAUGGGUGCACUGUGUCCAGAUACUUCAUAAGAGGCACCUAAAGACUGGGUGGGCAUCUUCAUCAUCAUCAUCAUCAUUGUUUAACGUCCGCUUUUGAUGCUGGCAUGGGUUGGAUGGUUUGACUGAAAACUGUUGAACUGGGGGGCUGCAGCAGAGUGUAGUGGUUGCUCUUUACGUGCCACCAGCACGGGGGCCAGUCAGGCGGUACUGGCAAUGACCUUGCUCGAAUCUUUUUACACAUGCCACCGGCACCGGCACAGGUGCCAGUAAGGCGAUGUUGGUAACGAUCAUGCUUAAAUGGUGCCCUUUUACAUGCCACUGGCACAGAAGCCAAGUUGGCUGCACUGGCAACGAUCACGUUCGGAUGGUGCUCUCUACUCUCUCAAUAUAAAGUCACGCUAUCACAAUUUCAUUGAUUACCCUAAUCAUGAAUCUACAUUACCUAUCGGGUAGGCAAUAACAGAGGUUUGAGAAUUUAAUCUGGUUGUAAAUCAGUACCUCAUAAAUAUCAACUCUAACUUUCCCCAAGCGUGGUAAUAUUUUCCCAUGAUCGGAUAUUGUUUCUGCAGAAUAUUAGAGAUGUAUGGCACUGCUUGUAUGACAGCAACACUCAUUUACAGCAAUCAGAUAAUGUCAAGACAAGGAGACAAAAACAUAUACACACAUAUAUAUAUAUAUACAUACAAUGGGAUUCUUUUAGUUUCCAUCUACUAAAGCUACUCACAGGGCUUUAGUUGGCCUGAACACUACAGUAAAUGACAUUUACCUAAGGUGCCAUGCAGUAGAACUGAAGUCAAAACCAUACGGUUGAGACGUGACAGUAAAAUCCUGAAUCAAAGAAAUCUCUGUCUAUACUCAUGGUCAAAAAAUAUGCUAAACAAAGGAAAGCAAAUAUGAGGGCUUACCACUAAUGGUUCCAUGCUUUUCCAGAGGGCAAUGCCUUUAAUCUCAUCAUAUCUGUUUUCUAUCAACAUAGAAUUUAUGCCAUUUCUUGUGCCUGUUUGUCAAGUGUGUAUUUAUAUUUACGGUUUUGAGCAAUAAAUAUCCCAAGUACAUUAAGUUUCAUAACCUUCCUGACCCCUUAUGGAUGAAGUAAUUUUAGUGAAGGUCAUUACACCCACCUUUUUAAUUGUUUAAUUGUUUGUAAAAAUCGUGGUCAUAAUUUUGUAUCAAUUUUCAUUUACAUGAAGCUUUUAAGCUUUUGGUCCUCUUGUACUGCUCACCCCAUUGGACAGCAAGCUUCCUAAACUGUGUCCGGUCAGUUGCUGCUCUUGCAUAUCCAUUCCAUGUAACGUUGACCGCCUUCAGGUCAUCUUGAAAUGUCCACCACUAGGUGAUCUUCAGCCGGCUUCUUUUACGUCUGCUAUCAGGUGGUACACGAAUCGUGGCUGUUUUUGAGUAUUUUUGAUUGGUCAGAGAAAGACUGUAGCUUAAGACAAACAAUUUUAAAAAAAUUUUUUUUUGUAGCCAAUGUGAUUGGCUCAAACAUUAAUUAAUGUAUCUAUAGAAUUAACUUCAAUUACAUUGGUAAUUAAUUGUCUGUAAAAAUGCAUGAACAAUUUAUGUAUUUCAUAUUCAUCCUGACACUAUCAUCAUCAUCAUCAUUUAAAGUCUGUUUUCUAUUUGGCAUGGGUUGGACGGUUCAACUAGGGUCUGGGAAGCCAGGAGGCUGCACCAAGCUCCAGUCUGAUCUGACAGUGUUUCUACAGCUGGAUGCCCUUCCUAACGCCAACCACUCUGAGAGUGUAGUAGGUGCUUUUUACAUGCCACCGGCACAGGGGCCAGAGGAAGCUGGCAACGGCCAUGAUCGGUUGGUGCUUUUUAUGUGCCACCAGCAUGAAAGCCAGUCAAGACAAUGCUGGCAUUGGCCCUGUUCGGAUGGUGCUUUUUACGUGCCACUGGCACGGGGAUCACAACUACAAUUUCCAUUUGAUUUUGAUGUAUUUGACUCAAUAGGUCUCCACAAGUACGGCAUGUCACCCUACGAUCCAAGGUACUUUUGAGUGGGCUGGUUAUGCGACACUGGUGUUGGUUACAGCUGUGAACUCACUUUAUUUCUCAGUCACAGCAAAUCUCCAGAGGUCUCGGUCUUUUGUCAUUGCUUCUGUGUGGCCCAACAUUCGAAGGUCAUGCUUCAUCACCUCAUCCCAUGUCUUCCUGGGUCUCCCUCUACCCCGGAUUCCUUCCACUGUUUGGGAGUGGCACUUCUUCACACAGCUCUCCUCAUUCCUCAUCCAUCCGUAGUACAUGACCACACCACGGAUGUAUGAUGUAAUUAUUCUCAUAAUCUCAACUCGUUGAACCAAUAUUCCACCAAAUUCAUUCUGUCAGUCUGUGGCAGAGGAGAUUUAUGGUCUUUUGUUAGAAUUAUUGUAGAAUUAUUUUGUACAGAAUAUGGUUACUUCUGAUCAUUAUAUGAAGAACCUUUUCCUGCUUUGUAUCAAGUUCCUGAUUCAUAUCACACUUCACUAUUACCAACAUUCUUUCAAUUACAGGAACUAUUCUUGUGUCCAUGCUGUAAAUUUUUUCCUGUCCUUCAUUCUACAGGAGGACUACAGCUGCUUUAAAUAUAUCUCACCGUGACAAUAUGUAUACGUCAUGUGAUUGACCAGAUUCUCAGAUGUCGUUAUACAUCGCUGGUCACAAUGCACUUUGCAUCAUUUUAGCUUUUGAAUGAUGCCACUUCACUGGCUGGGCAAGCAGGCCAAUAUUUCCCCUGAUCAGAAGGCUAGUCCAUUAUAGGUUGUACCCAUUUACAGCUGAGUGGACUGGAGAAGCGUGAAGUGAAGUGUUUUGCUCAAGAAUAUAAUGCAUCGCUUAGUCCAAGGACUGAAACCACAAUCUAGCAAUUGUGAGUGCAACUCCUAACCAUUAGGUCAUGCAUCUUCACACACACACUCAUCAUCAUCAUUUAGUGUUCCCUUUACUAUGCUGGUAUGGGUUGGUUGGUUCAACAAGAACUGAUGAGCCAGAGGACUGCUCCAAAUGGCAAUGUCUGUUUUGGCAUAGUUUCUAUAGCUGGAUGCCCUUCUCAAUGCUAACCACUUUACAAAGUGUAUUGGGUGCAUUUUAUGUGACAGCAGCACUAGUGAGGUCACUAAGUACUCACAAGACAAGAACCCCGCUCAACUGAAUGAGGGUAUAGUAUUGAAGGAUGUAAAAGUACAAGAAAGGGACAGGAACAGGUGUCUUGCUGACAUGGCUAACAUAUGGCUUCCACAUCUGAUGAUGAUGAAGGUGUACUCUCUAAGUACAAGGUGAAAAUGGGAGAGGGGGAAUAGGAUAGAGGAACAGAAAUGGUGGGUGGGUGGGUAGUUCAUUUGAGUGUGAAAAGAAUGUGGCAGUGAGAGUGAUAGGGAGAUAAUGCAUUUUGCUUCACAUUUUUUAAUUAGAUCAAAAAUUCUAAGAUUUGUAGAUAGAUGUCACCAGCCACAUAUUUGCAGUCCUUCAUGUUUACAUGAAAAAAAGAUAUGUUGCUGGAAGAAGCCAUUAAAACCCAGAAAACUAAAUGAUAAAUUGCCACAUGUGCAACUACAUAAGAAAUGCAUGCACACAUGUAUACAUGUACACAGAUGCACCCUUCACGUUUGUAUAUACACACAUGCACAAACACAUGCUCACAUGCACCUACACAUGCACACAAAUACAUGUAAGUUUCACUUCAUCCAAUUUAUUUCCAAUUCAAGUCUUUUAACUUGCUUCCAUCCUCGUUCAACAAUCUGUAUUUUUUACUUUCUUGCUCCGAUCGCUGUCUUACGCCUCAAGAUAAAAGUGUGAAAAUGAAACCCCUUUUCUUGGAUCUCCUGUUACUCUCACUGCAGCAGUUGUUCCCUUCUCCUUUCCAGCAGGAGUUCAUAUAUUUUAGUUUUAUUUCCUCCCUCAUUGUAUGUAUGAAGAAAUCAAACAAUUACAAAAGGUUCUGUCAAUGCUUUGUUUUAAAAAAAAAAGCUGAGGAAAUUAACUUUUACAGACCCUUUUUUUACCCUUGUCUACCCACUCAUUAACCCUUUCAUUACCAACCCGGCUGAAACCAGCUCUGGCUCUGAGUACAAAUGUCUUGUUUUCAUAAGUUUUCAAUUAAAAUCUUCCACCAAACUGUUCCUAACACUAGCUAAAUGAUAACUAAGUUAUUUUACUAAAUUCUUUGUUAUAUUUAACAUUAAUUGAAAGAAUCACAGAACAUCUCAACAGAAAUAUAGAAACAAGAGGGUUAACUAGGUUUUAUAGAAUUGACAUCACAGUUUCAGUUCAUUUAUCCCUCUUUCUUUCACAUUCUGAUGUUACACUCAAUUUCUUUUCAAUCUGUAUCCUCUUCUAUUCCAAUGCAUUCCAUUUCUCUGUAGUCUUUUAUUGCUGUUAUUAAUUUAUAUCCUGUCCCACGGCACUGGUUUAUUGUCCUGAAAAAAUUUGUUUUUAAUUUUGGCAACUCACAUAUAUGUCUGGCUCUCAACUAACAGUGGAAUCGUAAGGACACUGUGGUCAAAAACUGCAUGCCAGUUUCCUCCAUCAGCAUGGCAUAAUGGUUUGGGUACUGCACUAAUGAUUGCCAGAUUGCAGUUUUGACCCCUGGACGAAGCAGUGCAUUGCAUUUUUAAGCAGAACACUUCAUUCCACAUUGCUGCUGUCUACUUGGCUGUAAAUCAGUCACUCUGCAAUGGACCAGUAUCCCAUUCGAGGGAAAUGUUGUGAUUUCAUUGACUUAUACACAAUGAGUGGAGGUACAUGGCCUAGUGGUUAGAGCAGCAGACUCGCGGUCGAGGGAUCGUGAGUUCGACUCUCAGACCGGGCGAAACACCUAAGCUCCACACGGCUCCGGCAGAAGGUAAUAGCGAACUUCUGCUGACUCUUUCGCCACAACUUUCUCUCACUCUUUCCUCCUGCAUCUUGCAGCUCACCUGUGACAGACCAGCGUCCCAUCCAGGUGGGGAACCUAUACGCCAAGGAAACCAGGAAACCGGCCCUUAUGAGCCAGGAAUGGCUCGAGAAGGAACAAACAACAACUUAUACACAAGGAAUACCACAUAACAGAUGCUAUGAGUUCUAUUCUACGUGCAGUUGAUGUCGCAGAAAAAUAUUGUACUCUGCUGCUUUAUUUCUAUGUUUCCUUUUUUUUUUAUCAAUGAGCCAUGAAUACAGAAUGCUCCUUUAAAGGUAUCUCAUCACCCGUUAGUUGCAAUGUUUAAUUUUACAUUCUUCUUCGUAGACUUUUAUUCUUAAGCCAACCAUUUCUUGUUUCAUUUGCUGAUUUGACUUAUCUUCUGCUACUUCAAUAUUUGUAGCAAGUAAUGCAAAUGUCUGCUGUUAUUUUCCAUCCUUCUUCUCCACCCUCUAUUCCAGGGUGGAUUGUGGAGCUAGAGUCUUUUGACCCCCCCUCCCCACAGAAACCUCUCAGAAGCAGCCAUCAUUAUACAUACCAUUUCCCAAUUACUAAUAGUUGUUCCCUCCUGGACCCACUUCAGCUUCCCAAAACCUGCAUCCUUUGUGCACCUACCCAACACUUCCCAGAAUAUGAUGCAGGCUCAGGCUUACCAUUAAUUAUACUGGCAUUGGAUGGAAACAGCAUUAGAAUGGACCCCUCUACCUUAGAUCCAAAUGUGUCUUUUGUUGACCCAUGCAGUGGGCAAUGUGAUAUGGUUAUCCUUUGGAACUCUUUUCAUAUUGCAGAUUUCGGUAGUCUUAUUCAUGCCAGGCACCAAGUUGCCAUUUGGAUUGGACUCAGUUAUUUUCAUUCGUUUUAUGAAUCUAUCGCUAUUGUAGACGCAGGAGUGGCUGUGUGGUAAGUAGCUUGCUA